This 1845-nucleotide long non-coding RNA is filed under the name Gossypium raimondii (Peruvian cotton). Its description in RNAcentral is "long non-coding RNA (GRAI_LNC006581)". Lineage: Eukaryota; Viridiplantae; Streptophyta; Magnoliopsida; Malvales; Malvaceae. The record is from RNAcentral.
GCGUUUAAAGCUUACAAAUACAACGUCUCCCCUAUGUCAUGGCCUUAUUGGGGGUAUCUUUGCUUUUAUGGAUCUUGUAUACACUAGUUUGUCAAAACUCUACUUGUCAUCUUGUUUCAAUUCAAACCCACUAACCCCAUGUGAUCAACCCCGUAAUCUUUCCCUCUAACUUCCCUUGCAUGCCUCUUUUACAAUAAGACCAAGGACAGAGACACAGACAGACAGCGCCGUAGGCUUUCCUUGGCAGCGACAAGACACUAGAUAGAUGGAUGGAUGGAUGGACAGAAAGACAGAGAGAGAAAGAGAUUAACUUUUGCCUCGGUUACUGGUUCUACACGACCAACACUUGUUGCUUUCCAGAAGUUUUAACUGGUCCAAAACACACCCAGCUUCUAGCGUACACCCCCUUGGCCUUGUGUGUGUUCCAAGCUUUAAGUUAACCCUUUAUUUUAUUGUUUUGAACUCCCUAUAUAAUUCCUUUACUGUGACCCCACAGUUCAUAUCUGAGUGGCCUGCUUGUUUGAAAAAUGGGAGUGAUUGGGUUGUGUUUGUGUGGGAAGAGGAAGCUUAGGAGCUUGUUUUGGAGGGUUAGAGCUGAGAUAAGGAGACAAGUGAAGGGUAGGACAUCCAAGCAGAAGUUUAGCUUCCACUAUGAUCCCUUCAGUUAUGCUCUCAACUUCGACAAUGGUAACUUCGGUUUCUUAUGCUGAUCAUCACUCCCAAACUAGAAUCAAUCAAAUCAUAGCUUGUUAAGUUCAUUUUAAGGUCUCUUUGUAUUCUAAGCUAUCUUCUUCUUCUUCUUCUUAUUUAUCACCUUUUCCCCCUUGUUUCUAGUUAGCUUUUUGAUCUUCAUCUGGGUAAUGAUUGUAACUGAAAUCCAACUUCAAAGAAAAUGCAAUCUACCUUUUAGCUAAACAACAAAAUCCUUUCCAUGAAGAUAUAUAUAUUUACAAAUGGUUUUCUUUUUCCUUUAAUGAGCCCACAAUGAUGCUUACCAAUUAACUAGUAUCAAAUUGAUAACAGUGUGAAAAGAGAUACCGUCGAAAAGGAGAAGGCAAUGCAAAUGGAGAUUUGGGUUUCGAUGUUUGAAUGUUAUGAAUUUGUGUAGAUUAAUGGCAUGCAAAGCUGAGUUUCUUUCAACGUCAAGCGGGUAGCUUUUGUUUAUGAGAAAUGUGUUAAAACUUGUUUUUAAUUCAGUGUUGACAGUUCUCUGACCGUAUCUCAGCUGGGGUUUUCCUCUUGUGGAUUUAUUUCUUCCAGCACCACAACUUCACUGCACUACUAUAAAUGCUCCAGCACCAGCACUAAUGUCUCAUCCGUUCGUUUUGUCUUGUAAUAUAACACCGUUUUACUUCGCCAUUGAAUAGGUUAGGGUCUGGGGUAUGAGCCAUCGGUUUUCAUUUGGAACACCCCUCCCUCCUUCACAGUUCACACUGCAUAUAUUUCUCUUUCGAAUCUUGUUUAAUUGGACCAUUAUUUCUUUCCCAGUUCCAUGUUCUCAUUAAUAUACUAAUGUAAAAAAGAUCAUUUGUGUGUGUGGUAAAAUACGUAUUGUGUUGAGCAGCCACCAGAUGUGUAGAUUCUAUAAGGAUGCAUGGUUGUUUUAAACUUAAACCGCCAUUUAACGUCUUCAAGAUGUGAUUUAGUGAUGAUUUGGUAUUAAUGAGGGUUUUAACUAAUUUGGGGCAAACAGUUUAGAAAGAGGCAAAAUAUUAGGACUAUGAGGUAGAGGAAUCUAACUGCACCGGCAUUUGACCUCUUCAAAUUUUAAAAUUGUCUGUGUACUUUCUUCUUUCUAUUAUUGAUCCUUUGGUAAAUAAAUAAAAAAACUAAAAAUCUUUUGCA